CUAAAGGACUGAUUUGUCUCAUUUUGACUGUUGAGUCUUUAAUGGGUGCCAUUUAAAAAACAAAAUGCUAUUUUUUAAUUGUCUUUUUUUUUUAACUAUCAGUGUAUCUUUAAAAGUCACCCUUACGGUGAUUAAAUUGCACUAACAUUCCCAACUUAUUCUCAUUUGUGAAAUACAUCAAUAUCAGUGUCCUGUAAGAAUCAUCCUGUGACCUAGCUCGACUGGCUGCCGUGUGCUGUGGCUCAAGGUCUGUGUCCAUGUAACUAGCAGAGGGGUGUGUGUGUGAAUGCUUUCAGCCUCCAGAAAGGUCUAGCUCACACCUCACUCAAACCUAUUUUUGUGGUUCAUGGUCUCAGUAAUACAUUGAAGGUUCCCAGAGUUCAAGCGUAGUGGUCACACGUAACUUGAGACCGUUUCUUCUCUUCAUAAGUGAAUCUUACUAGGAAUUGGGAGAGUGGAAGACCGAUUAUUGGUCAGGGAGCCAAGCCUACUUUACCUGAGGAGAACCUGAGUAAUGCCCCAUUGUGAAGGAGGGUGUGGAUAUGGAGGGAGUGAUGGGACAUAUUUUUUCCCCCUUUCAUCUCACACAUUAAACAUGUCCCCAGCCAAUUUUCAUAGUUUCCUCAUACCUCAGACACCUUAAACUCAUUUUUUUUUCUUUUUGUAGAGACAGGUUAUCUCUGUUGCCCAGGCUGGUCUCAAACUCCUGGCCUCAAGUGAUCCUCCUGCCUCAGCCUCCCAAAGCACUGGGAUUAUUACAGGUGUGAGCCACCAUGCCUAGCCCACUCUCAAUUUUUUUUUUUUUUGUUUUAGACAGGGUCUCACUCUGUCACCAAGGCUGGAGUGCAGUGGUCUGAUCUCAGCUUACUGCAGCCUCUACCUCCCAGGAUCAAGUGAGCCUCCUGCUUUAGAACCCUGAGUAGCUGGGACUACAGCUGUGUGUCACCACACCUAGCUAAUUUUUGUGGUUUUUUUUUUGUAGAGACAGGGCUUCCAUAUGUUGGCUGGUCUCAAGUGAUCCUCCCGCCUCGGCCUCCCAAAGUGCUGAGAUUACAGGUGUGAGUCACCGCACCUGGCCCAAACUCAUUUUUUAUGUUCCUGCACACAUCAUUCCCUUAUCCAAACCAUUCAUUCAUCCAAAUCUUGACAACCCCUCCUGAGGCAAAAGCUAACGUGACCCAUCCAUUCAGCACAUCUCUGCUGGGUUUGCCAGGUCUCGUCUUCACAGUAGCCCCUUUGGGGGUGACUGAAUAGAUGGAGUUAAGACUGUAUGGGAAGUGGGUGUGCUUAUUGUCCCAGCUACUCAGGAGGCUGAGGUGGGAGGAUCACUUGAGUCCAGGGGUUCAAGGCUAGUCUGAGCAACAAAGACUGUACACACUCCUCAAUUCAGAGGGGACCCAUUUUCUUGAGGUCACUAACCUAGCCCCUCGCCACUGAGUUUAUCUUGGUCCUCCAAUCCUCUCAUUUUAGAAUUGUGCAGGCCUCUCGGGCACAGCAGUCUCAUGGCCAGAGGCAGAGCCAGGGCUGGACUGGAUUCUUUUCCAAGCUGCUGUCCUUUCCAAGAUACCUCAAGAAAAAAACAUUAAAAGACGAAAUAACUCUUGAAGGGGGUUAUACGUACCAUGUAAUGCUUUUUCCACUCACAUGGUUUCAACUUUGGGCUUAUUUGCCAAAAUCUAGGAUGGAAAAGUCCAGUUAUGAACAUGUUCCUCCUGGCUGGAUUUGAUCUUGAAGACACUAAACCCAAUUUCAGAGCAUAUUUAAUCCUGGGCUAUUGCUGAGGCCGACUUAGAAGAGACAAAGUGAGAUGCGAAAGAGGAGAAUUUUUAUGAUAGUUUGUACGUUACAAAUACCCAAGAAACUAUUUUCUUUACACCAUUAUUGCCAUGACUUUUUGUGGACAGUUUCACAUAACUGUAAAGUCCAGGCUGCUCGGGUCUGACCCCUACAGACCUGCCAUGUUGAAGCCCAGCUUUUUCGCUCCCGCACAGGUAAGAAGCUGCUGAUCUUCUGCAGACCCGCCAUGUUGGGGCCCAGCUCCCCACGCCAAGUCAGAAGCUGCUCAUCUUCUGCAACAGGGUUUGGCGCCGUUCUUCAGGGCCGAUGCCCUCAGCAAUGGACUUUAAGAAGCGCUGCUCGUGUGCCCUCUGGAGCAAGGAGCUGACAGAAGGGUUGGUCUUGCU
RNAcentral lists this long non-coding RNA (2183 nucleotides) under Homo sapiens (human). RNAcentral's name for it is "HSALNT0235753". The record is from RNAcentral. Lineage: Eukaryota; Metazoa; Chordata; Mammalia; Primates; Hominidae.